RNAcentral lists this ribosomal RNA (253 nucleotides) under uncultured bacterium. RNAcentral describes it as "partial 16S ribosomal RNA". It matches the Rfam family "Bacterial small subunit ribosomal RNA", at positions 524 to 776 of the family's 1533-position model. The record is from RNAcentral.
UACGUAGGGGGCGAGCGUUGUCCGGAGUUACUGGGCGUAAAGAGCUCGUAGGCGGUCUGUCGCGUCGGCUGUGAAAACCCGGAGCUCAACUCCGGGCCUGCAGUCGAUACGGGCAAACUGGAGUGUUGCAGGGGAGACUGGAAUUCCUGGUGUAGCGGUGAAAUGCGCAGAUAUCAGGAGGAACACCGGUGGCGAAGGCGGGUCUCUGGGCAGUAACUGACGCUGAGGAGCGAAAGCGUGGGGAGCGAACAGG